GACGAACCGUGCGAACGUUGUUCGGAAUCACUGGGCUUAAAGGGCGCGUAGGCGGCCCGCCGCGUCCGGGGUGAAAUCCUCCCGCUCAACGGGAGAACGGCCUCGGAUACGGGCGGGCUGGAGGGGGGUAGGGGCAGGCGGAACUGUGGGUGGAGCGGUGAAAUGCGUUGAGAUCCACAGGAACUCCGGUGGCGAAGGCGGCCUGCUGGACCGCACCUGACGCUGAGGCGCGAAAGCCAGGGGAGCGAACGGG
This 253-nucleotide ribosomal RNA is filed under the name uncultured bacterium. RNAcentral describes it as "partial 16S ribosomal RNA". It matches the Rfam family "Bacterial small subunit ribosomal RNA", at positions 524 to 776 of the family's 1533-position model. The record is from RNAcentral.